Hibiscus syriacus is the source of this 147-nucleotide long non-coding RNA. RefSeq lists it as uncharacterized. NCBI's taxonomy places the organism in Eukaryota, Viridiplantae, Streptophyta, Magnoliopsida, Malvales, Malvaceae. The record is from RefSeq and is a predicted model, not a curated record. The transcript is spliced from 4 exons.
AUUAACUAUAAAAAAAAGUCAUUUCCCUCUUCAUAAAGUUACCCAUAAGCAAGGAUAUAGCUUGAGACGUUGAAAGCCAUGACAAAAAAAUAUACCUGGAAAUCAUUCUCUUCAAAGCAUGAAAUAUUAUCACGCCAAAACAAUGGA